UGUGCGGUAUCUGAAACAACACACACAUCAGAUAUCGGGAAUCCCUUUGGGGGAGAACCGAAUCCGAUGCGUAAAUGUUUCAUAGAGUUACGGCGGCCAUAGCGACAGGGAAACGCCCGGUCCCAUUCCGAMCCCGGAAGCUAAGCCUGUCUGCGCCGAUGGUACUGCACUCGACAGGGUGUGGGAGAGUAGGACACCGCCGAAC
RNAcentral lists this ribosomal RNA (205 nucleotides) under Rhodococcus rhodochrous J45. Lineage: Bacteria; Bacillati; Actinomycetota; Actinomycetes; Mycobacteriales; Nocardiaceae. The record is from RNAcentral.